GCCUGGGUGGCUCAGUGGGUUAAGCAUCCGACUUCAGCUCGGGUCGUGGGUUCAAGCCCCACGUUGGGCU
This 70-nucleotide transfer RNA is filed under the name Felis catus (domestic cat). It matches the Rfam family "tRNA". Rfam says of the family: Transfer RNA (tRNA) molecules are approximately 80 nucleotides in length. Their secondary structure includes four short double-helical elements and three loops (D, anti-codon, and T loops). The record is from Rfam by way of RNAcentral. Lineage: Eukaryota; Metazoa; Chordata; Mammalia; Carnivora; Felidae.